CCUACGGGUGGCAGCAGUAGGGAAUCUUUCACAAUGGGCGAAAGCCUGAUGGAGCAACGCCGCGUGCAGGAUGAAGGCCUUCGGGUUGUAAACUGCUUUUAUAAGCGAGAAAUAUGACGGUAACCUAUGCAUAACGAUCGUCCAACAACGUGCCAGCAGCCGCGGUCAUACGUAGGAUCCGAGCAUUAUCCGGAGUGACUGGGUGUAAAGAGUUGCGUAGGUGGCAUAAUAAGUAGCUAGUGAAAUCUGGUGGCUCAACCAUUCAGACUAUUAGCUAAACUGUUAAGCUCGAGACCGUUAGGGGUAACUGGAAUUUCUAGUGUAGGAGUGAAAUCCGUAGAUAUUAGAAGGAACACCAAUAGCGUAGGCAGGUUGCUGGGACGGUUCUGACGCUAAGGCACGAAAGCGUAGGGAGCAAACGGGAUUAGAUACCCUUGUAGUC
RNAcentral lists this ribosomal RNA (442 nucleotides) under uncultured bacterium. RNAcentral describes it as "partial 16S ribosomal RNA". It matches the Rfam family "Bacterial small subunit ribosomal RNA", at positions 338 to 795 of the family's 1533-position model. The record is from RNAcentral.